Molecule: small nuclear RNA, 103 nt
Filed under: Salvator merianae (Argentine black and white tegu)
Lineage: Eukaryota; Metazoa; Chordata; Lepidosauria; Squamata; Teiidae
Source: RNAcentral
UUACUCUGGCAGCACAUAUACUAGAUCUGGAACAAUACAGAGAAGAUUAGCACGGCCCCUGCACAAGGAUGACAUGCAAAUCUGUGAAGCGUUCCAUUUUUUU